RNAcentral lists this ribosomal RNA (232 nucleotides) under uncultured bacterium. RNAcentral describes it as "partial 16S ribosomal RNA". It matches the Rfam family "Bacterial small subunit ribosomal RNA", at positions 29 to 286 of the family's 1533-position model. The record is from RNAcentral.
AAUGAACGCUGGCGGCAUGCCUAACACAUGCAAGUCGAACGAAGCCUUCGGGCUUAGUGGCGCACGGGUGCGUAACGCGUGGGAAUCUGCCCUUGGGUUCGGGAAUAACAGUGGGAACUACUGCUAAUACCGAAUGAUGUCGUAAGACCAAAGAUUUAUCGCCCACGGGAUGAGCCCGCCGUAGGAUUAGCUAGUUGGUGUGGUAAAGGCGCACCAAGGCGACGAUCCUUAG